This 397-nucleotide ribosomal RNA is filed under the name Syzygium balsameum. Its description in RNAcentral is "eukaryotic LSU rRNA". The stretch from base 288 to 397 matches the Rfam family "Eukaryotic large subunit ribosomal RNA", at positions 1 to 110 of the family's 3401-position model. Lineage: Eukaryota; Viridiplantae; Streptophyta; Magnoliopsida; Myrtales; Myrtaceae. The record is from RNAcentral.
UCCCGUGAACCAUCGAGUCUUUGAACGCAAGUUGCGCCCGAAAGCUUCGGUUGAGGGCACGUUUGCCUGGGUGUCACACAUGGCGUUGCCCCUAACCCCUCGCCUUGAACUGGGCGGGCGGGACUUGGGUGCGUAUGCUGGCCUCCCGAGACGAACUUAUCCCGGUUGGCCCAAAAUCGAGCGUUGGAGCGAUUAGCACCACGACAUUCGGUGGUUGAUGAGACCCCAAUGAUCAAUGUCGUGGGCGUCGCUCAGCACACGCUCCACGAAUCUACCUUUCACCAACGCGACCCCAGGUCAAGCGGGGCUACCCGCUGAGUUUAAGCAUAUCAAUAAGCGGAGGAAAAGAAACUAACAAGGAUUCCCCUAGUAACGGCGAGCGAACCGGGAAGAGCCC